Chenopodium quinoa (quinoa) is the source of this 4126-nucleotide RNA transcript. RefSeq lists it as uncharacterized. The record is from RefSeq and is a predicted model, not a curated record. The transcript is spliced from 5 exons. Lineage: Eukaryota; Viridiplantae; Streptophyta; Magnoliopsida; Caryophyllales; Amaranthaceae.
CAUUGUUACUUUCUUCUGCAAUAUUUUACUUUUUACUUAACAGUUAGGAAUCUUGACCAUUGGCUUUUCUUUCUUCUGCAAUAUUUUACUUUUUACUUUCCUCUAUCUCUGUAGUGUCUCUUCCAUACGCCCCUUUUCUCUCUCUUCUUCCAUCUUCACUUUCUCUAAAACCAUCAACAAUGAGCAACUUCUGAGCUUUCUCACCUCCAUCAAAUGCAGUUGAAUUUUUUUCAAGUGAUGGCUAUCCAAUUUAGCUGUGACCACUAAUCAAGGCAAUUCGCAAGUUUUCGAUGUCGGAAACUUGCACGCUUUCUCUAUCUCAGUUUGAAGGUGAAAUGAUCGGUCAAAGAUUUAUGUUUUUUGUUACCUGUCAGUUUGAAGGGGGAAAAUCCCAAAUUUUGAAGAAAUUAAGAGAAGAUGAGGCCUCGGAGGUAGAAGAUCCAUACUAUUAUGGGGUGGUUAAGAAAGAAGCCGCCGAAUGUGAAGGCGUUUCUAGCGGUGGUCGCAUGAAUGGCGGCUCUGGCUUUGCCGACCUUGCUGAACCUGGAUAUCUUGUUGUUGCAUGCUUUUCAAGUUCCUCACUAUUCUACUGAAAAAGAGGAGAGAAAAUGCGAUGAUCGGCGGCAGAGGUAAUGGUGGUGGCGAAGUUUCCGGCAUCAAACUGCCGCCAUCUAAAGACUGCAACCACUUAAAAUAUAAAUGAGUUUGUUUUAAAAAUGGUUUUAUUUUCUGAUUCAAUUCAAUUAGUUCAUAAUUUUGGGAUGGUUUAAUUCAAUUUGGUAUAUAAAACAGGUUUCAGAUUAAUGUUACAAAUCUCAUUGAUUUUAGAAACAAUAUAAAUCUACUUCAAUUAAUGUUCAUUGCACAAACCGUGUCUUUAUUGUGGCAUAGGGUCUGAUGCUCAAUGAUGAGAAUAGUUUUUGAUGCUCAAUGAUGAGAAUCAUUAGAUAAUAGUUGCCUUAAGAUACAAUUGUUCUUGAGUGAUAUUGAUAUUGUCGGAAUUUGUCAUGAAUUUACAACCUUUUGAAGUUGUUUGUUCUUUCCGAAAAAUUGACAAGGAAGUAUUUUUGGUGUUAGAAGUCUGAAAGGGCACACAUUUCUAAUUAGACUUAGUUAUUGUAUUUAAUUUGACAAGAUCAGAGAAGAAUGAGAAAUUAUUCUCCUUUGUCGUUGUUGUAAGAUUAAAUUUUCUCUUUCAAAUUAUAAUUUAUGGACUUGCUUCAUUCUUUUUGGAAAUGCAAUUGGAUUUUGUGCAGAACCCAUUAUAGAUAUUCCUUUAUUAGUUUGGUUUUAACUUUUUAUUUGAGGGCUUGAUGUGUUGUUUGAUAUGACAGGCAAGGUCAAAGUACCGGAGUUUUUGAAUGGGAAAGGGAAAGGAGUAGAGGCUCAUGUGGGGAAGCUUGAGUCUGAGUUUGGGGACCUUCAAAAGUUGCUUGUCGUUCGCACUCUUAAACUCAAGAAGCUUGAUUUUCCAUGUAAACAUGAAUUUUAUUGCUAAGCUAAGGACCGGCGUUGGUGUCUUCGUAGAGCUUGCUCAACAGAGACAAAAUUCAUCGUUUAAUUUAUCCAUUUUCGUUCAAGAAGAAAUGUAUAGACUUAUAUUUGAGGAUAAAUUACUAAGUGCAAGUAUGAGUAUUAUGUGUACCACAUUUAAAGGAAAUAAGAAACUUAAUCAAUCUAUAACCCAAGUAAAAGCUACUCCUAUAUAUUGUCAAUUAAUAUCUUGGAUUAUAUCUUACUUUGAACUCAAGUAGUGUGGGAUUUUUUUUUGGUUUUCCAUUGCCAAUUUUCCAUGCACGUGUUGGUUAAAGUUGAUGUUAUCAAGAUACUUGAACAUGCAUAUGCAUGUACCAAUAUAGUUUGUAAAAGUGCAUGCAUAUUCAUGGAAAAGUAUCCUAGACCAUCUCUGCAUCUCAUGAAGUUAAUUAUAUGUGUAUAUAAAGGAAGUUGUGAGAUCGAUCAUUAGGAUGAUCUUUCCGUUACGGACUUAUUAGUAAGAUAUGACUUCUUUUGAAAAUUAGUUUUUGAGAUUUUUAUGAGUGACUAAAUAUGUAUGGUAAAGAAAGUCACAAAAGUAUCACCUAAAUUUAAACGGAUUAAGAUAGUUAAUAUCACGCUAUCGCAUGCAUUUAUAUUUCAAUGUGUCUCGUUCAAGAAUUAUUAGAGAUGUACAUAACAAUCCCCUUGAGACUCGACAAAUUAGAUAAUUUAUUUUGUGUAAACAAGCAUAUAUAUAAUUCGUGUCGUUUGAGAAUUUGUAAUUCUUCUUGCUCUACGUACAUGAGUUCUCUGCAAUUCUGAAGAUAUUUCUUCACCAUUGUGGUUUUGGUUUAGUCAUUUUUUUUUUUUGAAAUAUUUAGGCAUAUAUUAUUAUAUUUUAAGUAGCAAGUAUGGUAUUAAGCUUAUUAUUUGACGUAAUAUCUUAUUUUAUUUAUUUUAUUCGUCUUCUAGGAAAUUGCUCAUACAGAUUUGCCACCAACUUAUUCCAUCAGAUUAGGUCUUGCGAACUUUGAAUGCAUUUAAAGAAGCCACAUACUAUGGGUGAAGAAAUUUUAAAAGGACUGCUCUCUUAUCAUGCAACUAUUGAGGGAAAACCUCACUCUCUGAACAUCAAACCAAGAAGGAGAAUGAGAGAUUUUUUUUGACACAACGAAUGAGAGACAGAGAUGGGAGAGAGGCAAUGCAUUUUUUUUAUUUUUUAUUUUUAAUUUUCUUUGGAAAUAGCUUGAUUUAAAUAGCACAUCAGUUUCCUCUCAAACACAUUACACUUUAAAAAUACUAUUAUUACUUUGAUUUCCAUUCAUAUUUUACAAUCUACUUCGUAAUAAACAAGGCAUUUUUUUAAUUGUUUUGAUGUUUCUUAUCAUAUUGUCAAAAAUAUUGAAAGCUUGGAACGUGACUUCAUUACUGGCCAAAUAGACAAACUAUUAAGAAUUGCCACCUAAUUUGGAAUGAACGAAAAUAUUCACAUAAUCACAUUCAAAAUAUAUUUCUAAAAUGAUACUUCGUAUAUGACAAAAUCUAAACAAAAAAAAAAAAACUCUAAAAGUAUUUUGCAAUAAACAAUAAUUAAACCUAUUAGCUACAUAUGCACUUCUAAUUUAAAUCUAAGUUAAACGACUAAGCAAAUAAUUUCAGUACAUUUCACUACAUUGGGAGUUUGGGACACACUCUUGUGUGUGACCCAAACUAUUACAAGGUGUACACCAACCUCAAACGUAACUAAAUCAUCUUAUUUUUCAUAAAGGUUCUAUCAAAUUGCUUCGCGCGCAACGCGCGCAUGGAGCACCCCUAGUUUAAUUAAAAAUACGAGGUAUUACAUGUAUAUUUUAUUUCAAAUAAAAUACAUAUAAAAAUAUGAGGUAUUACAUGCAGUUUAAAAUAAAAUACGUAUAAAAAUACGAGGUAUUACAUGUAUAUGUCAACGUAAAUGAAUAUAUAAUAUGACAUAUAUGAGUAUUAUUUUUAUACGACGCAAAAUACUAAUGAAAUUAGUUGAAUAUCAAAUUUAUAAAACUAUAGAUAUAUUCAUUAAAACGCAAAAAACUGGAAAAAAAAAAUCAAUCAAAUAACAACAUUACGAUUAAAAACAAUAAAAUCACAACAAUACAACCAACUCCAUUGAUUAGCAAAACUAUAUAAUCCAGCAUUAUAUAAGUUAUAAUUCAUACAAUUAGCAAUAACAAUUAGGAAAACUAUGAAAUCUUUAUAAUCGAGCAUUAUAUAAUAUAUAUUUCAUACAAUUAGCAAAACUAUGAAAUCAAAAAUUAAAAUCGAGCAAUUACACGCGAAAAACAGAGCAUAAUCAAAAUCCAUUAAUUGAGUGACAAAUUACUAACAUUGAUUCAUGAACAAGUCGAGUAAACCAACUCCGGGAGGAAAAAUAGAAUCACAGUCACGAUCAAACAAAAUUGAGCUAGAAUCACAAUCACGAUCAAAUGCAUUUGAACUAGAAAUAUCCAUGGAAGCAGAGAGAGAAAUUGGGGGGAAAAUAAAAAAUUCAAGAGAGAGAAAAUAAAAUCAAAUAAGAGACAAAAAAAGAGGAAAUUAGGUUAGGAAAAUCAUUAUAUUAUUCCUUGAAUAGAAAGUUAACAAAACUAAAAAAAAUGAAAAAAUGAAAAAAAAA